Scylla paramamosain (green mud crab) is the source of this 4292-nucleotide long non-coding RNA. RefSeq lists it as uncharacterized. The transcript is spliced from 3 exons. The record is from RefSeq and is a predicted model, not a curated record. NCBI's taxonomy places the organism in Eukaryota, Metazoa, Arthropoda, Malacostraca, Decapoda, Portunidae.
GAAAAAUGGCAUUCCCCCGGGGCAGGAUGGAGGCAGCAGAGUGGCGGCGCCUGCUUCACCUCCUCAAGGACGCGCGGGUCAGGGUGACGAGGGAGUAUGGAAGUUUUUUGAUACCAGAGGAAACCAUCACUGAGGAGGAGGAGUGGAGAGAGCUGGAGGACGUCACUAUCAAUUUGUGGGGGUGUAAGGUGUUCAGGGAAUCUGACGAGAUAUGUUUCUUGUCAGCCUCAAUUUGUGACUUUUGAGUCUGAUGAAGAAGAUGAAGAUGAGGAGGAGGAGGACUUAAAAAAUUUAACCUGCUCCACAGCCUGCUGCAUCACCACCACAGCCACCUCCACCACAGCCUGCUACACCACCAUCACAGCCACCACAACACAGUCACUCCACCACAGCCAAAAGUAGUGGAGACAAAGCGGCGCCCUUUGAAACACUUGAAACACUUGAAACACUUUAUUAUACUUUGCAUGAGUUAAAACAUAGAUUAAAUAUAUUUUUGAAUAGCAAAGCAGCCCAUAUAAAGCCGAGGCUUUUUGGGCAGUAUUACUUAUAAGAUAAUUAAAUUAUCUUCUCAACCCCAUUCCAUAUGUUGCCAGUAGCAUAGGCAAUAUCUUUACAUACACAAAUAUACAUAUUAACUUUGUCCAUACAUACAUGUAUACUAGCAUGCAUCCGCCCAUACAUACACACAUUCACACAAAAUCAUAACACACAUAGGCAUAUAAAUGAUAUACGAGUAUGUAAUAUACAUACACAAAUGCAAACACGCAUAUAUACACAAUAUUUUAUUACAAUGUACGUGACACCAGUGACAUAACUAUUUAUUUUAUUUUAUUUUGUUUUAUGUUGCCUGAUUGAUUGAAUGUUUGAUUGUCAAUUUAAUAAGUGGAAAUUAUAUGUUUCUUAAUUUUUUUUUUAAAUGAAAGUAUUGUGGGUAAUAAUCUAAUGUGUUCUGGAAUCGAAUUCCAUGUUUUUGGGCCAGUAUAAGAUAAUGAAUGUUGAAAUAUCGUUAGGUGGUGAAGUGGUAUGGAGAGGUUGUCUCGAGCACGUGUAGGAUAGUUAUGUUGAUGUCUUAUAGCUGUAUUGUUUGUGUCUUUAAUUUGUUUGUACAUCUGAAUUCCAAUUUGCACUUUAUUAAUAUCAAAUAACUUCAAUAUAUUUGUCUCUUUGAAAAGAAGUUGUGUAUGAGCAAAAUAGUCACUGAAUGUUAUGAUUCUAAUUAUUUUUUUUGCAAUCUGAAGAGUGGUAUCAGGUGUGUUAGAUAGGUGUUGCACCAGAUAGGUAUGCAGUACUGUAAGUGUGGUAAAACAUGUGCAUUGUAUAAAAUUAUAAGUACAUAUUGUGGAACUAAAUCUUUAAUCUGGUACAGGAGGGAAACAAUCCUGGAUAAUUUCAGCAUGAGAUUUGAUAUGUGUGGUUUGAAAGUCAUAUUUUCAUCAUAGGUUAUUCCUAGUAAGUUAUGGUGAUUAGUUCUAUUAAUAAUCUUAUCAUGAUAAAACAGAGGUGGCAGUAUAUUUAUGGGCUUAUUGGUAAAUAGCAUGUAAUAUGUUUUGCUGGGAUUUACAGUUAGUCUAUUACUUGUACACCAUUUGUGGAAGGUUUUUGCACAACAAAGAGAAUGGCUGGGUGCAGACUCUGCCGGCAAGGAAGCAACAUGGGAAACACUUCAGGGAGAAAGACCAGCGGGACCGACAGUGGACAGCUGGAUGACUCGGCGGGCAGCCGGGAGAGGAUGGCCAAGCAAGGCCAGACCCAUUGCUGGCCAGGAGAAUGGACUCAGCCGAGGAGAUGCACAUGUGUGUCCCAUGGGAAAGAGCUGCCGUGUCACUGCAGUAGUGACGCUGAAGAGGACAUCAAGGAGAACGAGUCAUGCGAGGCGAGCCACACAACCUUCAGAAACGUGUCAUUCUGUCUGCAGAUGAUGCCUCAAUAUUAAGAGAAUGACAAGCCACACUGACUGUGGAAUUCCUCACACUGACUUGAACAAGACCUCACAGUGGAGCAAGGCACAGGAAAGGAAGAUCAUUGCAUUACCUACUGCAGAGAGAGAGAGAGAGAGAGAGAGAGCAGCUGGUACUAUACAAAUGUUAUUGGUGUCAGUAUCGACUCUUGUUUAUGCCCAAGAUAGUAUGAGUCUCUUCAGACAAACAUACAACAAGUUUCUUCAGUAACAAUUUCCUGGAAUCCACUCCCGGCAGUCUGCGCCACCAGCACACCCCGUGUCUCUCAGCCAAGUCUCCACCCAGCACCCUAAACCAUCUGCCCAAACAGGUGAGAUGUCGGGGAGGCAGAGAGAGGCGGUGCACAUUACACAUUACAUCUUAAGUAAGUAUUAACCCUAAGGAAGUAUCCUGUUGAUGAUACAGAAAUGUUGUUAAUGUGCCACUAGUACUGCAGUGAACGUGCUGCCUGUCCUGCACACCACCACACCAGCACAUGCCACACCUUCUCCGAGUGCCACCAUCCGGUGCUGCGCAGCAGAACAGGUGUGGAGGCGUCAGCCGAGUGUAUGACUGACGCGUCGUGCCAGAGGAAAUGCAAGCUGACCAUCAUGGUUGGCUUCAACUGUAGAGAACUAAAUUGAGAUGAAUGGACAAGUGAAGGAAGUGACGAAUCAUGGGGGAGUGAAAUGCUGAAGUUAGCCAUGGAAAACACUUUAACACAAUGGAUUGCAAUUGACACGAGAUUUAGAAGUGAUGGUGUACCACUGAGACUGGACUCGGUUUUCAUGAAAGACCCAGAAAUUAUAGAAAGUGUCACCUGAGACUCCCCUUUAAGCAAGAGUGAUCACGUGUUAAUUGAACUCCAAAUAACAGAGACUUUAAAGUGUCUGAGAGAAGAGUGUCACAAGAUUGAAAGGUUGAACUAUAGGAGGGCAGACCAUAAAGCCAUGAAAUGAUUUUUACACAGGCAGAUUGGAGCGCCUUUAACAUGACCAAUACCAUCGUUCCAAAAGUGAACAAGAGAGAGAUUAGGAAAAGUGACUGGUUUGACAAGAGUUGUACGGAGGCAAAAAGUAAGAGUGACCAGGUGUUGAAUAAAUGGAGAAGGAAAAAGAAGGCCAGAACUGUAGAAAAACUAUGCGGAGGCCAGAAAUGACAUUGGUCUAUGCAGAGAGAUAAAAAGAAACUAUGAGAAGGAUACAGUGGAGAGGUGUAAGGACUAGCCAAAUUCAUAUACAGUAAAUUAAAAAAACAAAGAAGGGAUAAGCAAGCUGGAAGUGAAUGAACUACAAUACACAAAGGCAGCAGAAAUGGCAGAAGUUAUGAAAUGAAUGACUGUUUUCAGAAAGCUUUCACCAGGGAAGAUGACUUCAACAAUCAGGAGGAAAUAACCAUGAAGGGUAACACCUUGCAUGAGAUCCAGAUAUCUAUUGAAGAAGUGUAGAAAUUACUGAGUGGGUUAGAUGCAAGAAAGGCACAUGGACCGGAUGGAGUGUCAAACUGGGUGUUGAAAGAGUGCAGCAGUGAGCCAAGUGCUAAAAUGCUAAAAUACACAGUAUCACCAAUUGUUUGCUGAGAGUAGGUAGAGUCUCUGAAGACUGGAAGAGCCCAAAUAUUAUUGCAAUAUACAAAGAAGGCAAGGGAGAGGAUCUGAUGAAUUACAGACCUGUAUCAUUGACAAGUGUGGUGGCCAAGAUCUGUGAAAGGGCAGUUAGAGACAAAUGGAUGGAAUACCUGGAGACCAAAGACAUAAUAAGUGACAGUUUGGCUUUCAAAAAGGACACUCCUGUACUGCUAACUUGGUGUGCUUCUAUUCAAGAGUUACCGAUAUAAUACAAGAAAGAGACAGAUGGGCGGACUGCAUUUAUUUAGACCCGGAGAAGGCCUUCGACAAAGUUCCACGCAAGAGACUAGUGUGGAAACUUAGAGAAGAAGGUGGUGUGGGAAGAAAAUUACUGGCAUGGAUGGAAGACUUCCUAAAGGACAAAGAUGAGGACAGUUAUAAGAGACAAAACAUCUACAUUCAAAAGUGUUUACAGUGGAGUUCCUCAGGGAUCAGUUCUACCUCCUAUUAUGUUUGCUAUAUACAUAAAUGAUAUGGUUAAGGAGACAGGAAGUGAUGCAAGUCUGUUUGUUGAUGAUGCAAGAUCAUGAAGGAAGUAAAGAAUAAAGAGGACUGUGACCUGCUCCAAAAGGACUUCAAUAGGAUAUAUGAAUGGAGUAAAAAAUGGAACAUUGCAUUUGAUGCAAGAAAAUGUAGUGUAUUGGAGUUAGGGGAAAGCAAAAACAGACCUGUUGGAACCUAUAAGCUGAAAGAAGCAAAAAUCCAGAAAAGGGACACUGAGAAAGAUC